Ictalurus punctatus (channel catfish) is the source of this 845-nucleotide long non-coding RNA. NCBI's taxonomy places the organism in Eukaryota, Metazoa, Chordata, Actinopteri, Siluriformes, Ictaluridae. The record is from Ensembl.
UUAUGGGCCAUUUUCUGUAGAUGCAUGACACACACACACACACACAGACACACACACACACACACACACACACACACACACACACACACACACACACACACAUAAUUAGGUCUAUUUCAGGUAUAGUUUGUAACCCUAUAUAAGGGGUACCUAUAUAAUGCACCGUAUAAAACAUCUCAUUCUGGGUUAUUUCUCUAUAACAUACAUCGUAAUAAUGUUAAUGCUUUUAUGUGAGGUCAGUAAUAUUUCACUGUUCUGUUGUGUAGGUGUUGUUCAUUCUUCUGUUGUGUAGAUGUUCACCCUCCUGUUGUGUAGAAGCUGUUCACUGUUCUGUAGAUGGUGUUCAGUUGUGUAGAUGUUGUUCACUCUCCUGUUGUGUAGAUGUUCACGGCAGGCUUCCUCCUUAUUUGGCUAUGUGAUUGUUAUUAAACCUGAUUGCGUCAUUAACUGCUGGAUGAUGAUCCGCUAAUGAUCUGCCGUCUCGUAUUUUAUUCCUCUUCAUCCCAUCUGAUCGGGAGCUGUAGCAGCAUUGCUCUUUCCGUUUUCUCUCGUCUUUUGCCUCAUCAUUUCCUCUAAUUGCAUCACUCUCUUCUUCCUGCAGACUCAAAAUGCUGUUAGCUCACCUCUCGCUCCCAUGCUGCUAUUUAUACACCACCGUCUCACUGUUAGCCAAGAGACCCGUGACCCAUACAUCCUCUCAUGUACACACCUUCUACACACCUUUAUACACAUUUACACACCUGCACACUUUACACACCGUCCACGCACCUUUACACACCGUCCACACACCGUCCACGCACCUUUACACACCAUCCACACACCUUUACACACCGUCCACACACCUU